UACAGAGGGUGCGAGCGUUGUUCGGAAUUAUUGGGCGUAAAGAGCUUGUAGGCGGUCUGUCGCGUCUGCUGUGAAAAUCCGGGGCUCAACCCCGGACUUGCAGUGGGUACGGGCAGACUAGAGUGUGGUAGGGGAGACUGGAAUUCCUGGUGUAGCGGUGAAAUGCGCAGAUAUCAGGAGGAACACCGAUGGCGAAGGCAGGUCUCUGGGCCACUACUGACGCUGAGAAGCGAAAGCAUGGGGAGCGAACAGG
RNAcentral lists this ribosomal RNA (253 nucleotides) under uncultured bacterium. Its description in RNAcentral is "partial 16S ribosomal RNA". It matches the Rfam family "Bacterial small subunit ribosomal RNA", at positions 524 to 776 of the family's 1533-position model. The record is from RNAcentral.